RNAcentral lists this ribosomal RNA (809 nucleotides) under uncultured Bacillota bacterium. RNAcentral's name for it is "bacterial SSU rRNA". It matches the Rfam family "Bacterial small subunit ribosomal RNA", at positions 59 to 850 of the family's 1533-position model. The record is from RNAcentral. Lineage: Bacteria; Bacillati; Bacillota.
AAGUCGAACGCGGUUUCCCCGCAAGGGGAAACUGAGUGGCGAACGGGUGAGUAACACGUGGGUGACCUACCUUCGAGUGGGGGAUAACGUCCCGAAAGGGACGCUAAUACCGCAUAACAUCCUGUCCUUGAACGGAUGGAGAUCAAAGCCGGGGAUCGCAAGACCUGGCGCUUGAUGAGGGGCCCGCGUCUGAUUAGCUAGUUGGUGAGGUAACGGCUCACCAAGGCGACGAUCAGUAGCCGGCCUGAGAGGGCGGACGGCCACACUGGGACUGAGACACGGCCCAGACUCCUACGGGAGGCAGCAGUGGGGAAUUGUUCACAAUGGGCGCAAGCCUGAUGACGCAACGCCGCGUGGAGGAUGAAGGUCUUCGGAUUGUAAACUCCUGUUGCUCGGGACGAAUGGCUCCAACCUAAUACGUUGGAGUGUGACGGUACCGAGUGAGGAAGCCCCGGCUAACUCUGUGCCAGCAGCCGCGGUAAUACAGAGGGGGCAAGCGUUGUUCGGAAUUACUGGGCGUAAAGGGCGCGUAGGCGGCCUGUUAAGUCGAACGUGAAAUCCCCGGGCUCAACCCGGGAACUGCGUCCGAUACUGGCAGGCUUGAAUCCGGGAGAGGGAUGCGGAAUUCCAGGUGUAGCGGUGAAAUGCGUAGAUAUCUGGAGGAACACCGGUGGCGAAGGCGGCAUCCUGGACCGGCAUUGACGCUGAGGCGCGAAAGCCAGGGGAGCAAACGGGAUUAGAUACCCCGGUAGUCCUGGCCCUAAACGAUGAAUGCUUGGUGUGGCGGGUAUCGAUCCCUGCGUGCCGAA